RNAcentral lists this ribosomal RNA (324 nucleotides) under uncultured eukaryote. RNAcentral's name for it is "partial 18S ribosomal RNA". It matches the Rfam family "Eukaryotic small subunit ribosomal RNA", at positions 1470 to 1796 of the family's 1831-position model. The record is from RNAcentral.
CCCUUAGAUGUUCUGGGCCGCACGCGCGCUACACUGAUGCAUUCAACGAGUUUCUUCCUGGUCCGAGAGGAAUGGGUAACCUUUUGAAAGCGCAUCGUGAUAGGGAUAGACUAUUGCAAUUAUUGGUCUUCAACGAGGAAUUCCUAGUAGACGUAGUUCAUCAGACUGCAUCGAUUACGUCCCUGCCCUUUGUACACACCGCCCGUCGCUCCUACCGAUUGAAUGCUCAGGUGAGUCAUUCGGACUUUCAUCAUGCUGGUUUCCAGUUUUGAUGAAGGAAAGUCUUGCGAACCUUAUCAUUUAGAGGAAGGAGAAGUCGUAACA